CUCCCCACACACUAAGAUAAGAUGUUACGAACUUUCUAGCUUUCCCCUCCCCCCAACCCCAUCCCCUACCCUCACCCCCUCCAUAACACCCCACACCCCACACACCCCGAGGCACCAAGACAAACCUACAGCGAUAGUGAUAAUCCGUCUCUCUCCUCUCGCCCUUAGAAUUAAAAGACAGAAUGAAAGAAAAAAACAUGAGGGGGUCGUUUCUCGUUCACCUUCGUACCUUGCCUGACGCCGAUAUAUCUUUGAUGGUUAGUGCGUUGGUUUUGCUUCUCCCUGGUCGCGUGUUCGAUCCCCCGUGACGGAAAGAUUAUGCCUCCUCCCAUAGCUAGAUAAUUAAUUUUGGUUUCAGGGAGUCAUAUGAGGUCUAGGUUCCCUUUAUUUUACUUUUAUUUGAGUUUUAAAGCUAAACGGCGCAGCGUGAUUUCCCAGCAUGUUGAUUGGCUGUCCCCGAGUCGCCUGAACUAGAACUGAGUCUCAUAGAUCUUGAAUUGUGUUGCCAAAAUCGGGAUCAAGUUGCCUAAAUCGAGAUCAUGAUGACAAAAUCGGUAUCAUGUUGCCAAAAUCGGGUUUAAAAAUCGGGAUCAAGUUGUCAAAAUCGGGUUUAAAAAUCGGGAUCAAGUUGUCAAAAUCGGGUCUAAAAAUCGGGAUCAAGUUGUCAAAAUCGGGUCUAAAAAUCGGGAUCAAGUUGUCAAAAUCGGGAUAGAGUUGCCAAAAUCGGGAUCAAUUACCAAGACAAUCCAGAGCAACCAAUAAAUCGCCUGACUUCUCACGCUGGGACAUACGAUCUUGCGUUAACUAUCUCUAUAUUUGUUUUCCUUUCACUUUAUGGUUUUCAAUUCUCUAUAUCGUCGGUUUGGUGAUGUUUGUAAAGGGUUUGAAUUGCAAGGCCGACGCACGACAAACGCCCCCCUCCAUUCCUAAGUGUACAAAAGCAGUUACCUAUUCCUAAUUAAGCUAACGAGGAACACAGGUAAGGAGUUCUAUUUUAGGUAAUAUACGAGCCAUUCUUAUCUUCUAUGUUAUCUACGUAGUCUAGUAUUUGUUUAUAUUUUUUUUACUUUCUCACUCACUCACUCACACUCACACACACACACACACACACACACACACACACACACACACACACACACACACACACAUUCAGUCCUUGGAAAAAAAAAUGGUUUGUAAGAUUAAUAAGGUUUCAUUAAUAUUUCUAGCGGCGAAAAACAAAAAUAUUACAAGUCCGUGCUCUUAGUAGUAAUAGUAGUAGUAAUAGUAGUAGUAGUAGUAGUAGUAGUAGUAGUAAUAAUAGUAGUAAUAGCCCUACCGAAAGGACUUACAUAGACUAUUAACCAGGAAUAUUCUACAAGCUAUUACCCUUCUUAUCUGCUGCUAUUAACUCUAUCAUCUUGUCUUAUCUCUAUCUUAGACUUAAUAUAUGUUGCAUGUAUCCUUCAUUUUCAUCACUUAACAAUAACUCCACUUUUUCCUCCUCCUUUCACCUUCUCCAGCAUAAUAUUUCUCCCUAAGACCACAAACAGGAUUGGAACUUACUAGCUAUGCCACCUUGACCCCACCACCACCACCACCGCUACCUCGUCACUGGGGGGCAGAAGGUGGUAGGUGGUAGUGGAGGGGGUGAAGGGUCAGGUGGAGUUGGACACACUGUAUAUUAGGAAACGUCACGCCUAGUUAAUUUUUGCUUCGCUUUAUCAUUCUCUUGUUUAUUUUGAUGUUUAUUGUUGUUGUUUUCUUCCUCUUCUUAUGACCACAGAUGUUGCGCUGACUCAACGAAACUUUCCAACUACUUUCCUCUUCUUCUUCUUCUUCAGUGUCUUUCUUCUGUGGUUUUUUUUUUUAUUAUAUAUAUUUUCUUCUCUUGGUUUUCUUUAAUGCUAACCUUAAUUCCACUAGAGUUGUUUUCUUUUAGUUAUUAUUCGCGUUUUUCUUUCUGUCUUUUGAUCUUUCUUUCAUCUAUUUUCUUCCUCUAUCUUUAAAAUCCAUGUAAGUAAACCAUCGCCGCUGUCUUUCUACGUUUACUACUUUUCUUUCUCUACCUUUAAAACGCAUGUAAGUAAAUCCUCGCAGUUAUCCUUCUAUUACAGCUAAACCGCUUCUAAUUUCUGCUUUUCUCACUCAGUAUCGCUCCUUUUUUCAUCUUUUUUCCUUUUUUUUCAUUUUUUCUCACCCUUCAUCGUUUUCAAUCUCUCACGCGUUGAUCUGUUUUUACUCUUUUCCUUCUUCUUAAAUAUACAUCCCGGAACACUUAUUUUUCACCCUCCUCUUGUAAACACUCGAUUUCGGUCUCUUAGAGGUUGUUAUCGGUCUUUAAAUUCGUUACUUCUGCAAAUUGUCAAGCGUUUAAAGGUCUUUCACAUAUUUCAUUUUUCUUUCUUUGGCGUGGAUGAAAAAAAAAGAGUAGGAAAGUGGGUUUUAAUUCGUUACUUCUGCAUAUUUUCAAGCGUCUAAAGGUCUUUCACACGUUCAACUUAUUUCAUUUUUCAUUCUUUGGCGUGGAUGAAAAAAAAAAGAAUGAAAGUAGGAAAAAUCGCAGCUUAUGUUAUAGUACACACAUCGCUGUUGCUGGUUACGCGCCGAGCUCACACUCCGUUUUCUUCUUCUUCCGUUUUCUUUGCCUAGACUGACUUAAAUUGACUUGUAAACGGUCUAUUCCGGUCUCUAAAGGUGGUUAUCGUUUUUUAAAUUCGUUACAUCUGCAAAUUGUCAAGCGUUUAAAGAUCUUUCAAACAUUUUUAUUUUUCAUUCUUUGGCGUGGAUUGAAAAAAAGAGAAAGAAAAUGGGAAAAUUCGCUGCCCAAGGUCUCACUUACUUAACUUCUAGCUCUAAAACUAUAAGGUACUGAUUUUUUUUCCUUAUUUUUAUUCUCCUUUUCUCGUGUUCCCCUAUUCACUUAUUCCUAUUUCCUUAUUCCUAUUCGGUUAUUCCUAUUUUCAUUUUCACUCCUGUCAUUUUAUCUCCUUUGUCUCCUCCUCCUCCUCCUCUUUUCAUGUUCUUGUUCUUGUUCUUCUUCUCUUCCUCAUUAUUACUAUUACAUUAUUAUUAUUAUUAUUAUUAUUAUUAUUAUUAUUAUUAUUAUUAUUAUUAUUAUUAUUCCCUCGGCAUCUCCUCCUCUUCCUCCUCCUCCUCCUCCUCCUCCUCCUCCUCCUCCUCCUCCUCCUCUCAACCACCACCACCACCAUCAUCACUCUCAAAACAAAACAAAACAAAAAAGAGUAUUGGCAAAAGUUAACACAAGGAAAAGUUACCUUAAAACCCCCACACACCUCCCCCCCUCCCCCCUCCUCCCCCCCCCUCUGGCACGGUUCACCCCUCCAGGUUUGCUUUUUAAUCUUUUUUUUUAAUCCUGCAUUCGUCAACAUUGCCAGAGAAGAGAAGAGAAGAGAAGAGAAGGCUUAAGCUCACCCACAUCUUGAGAAUUAAACAAAAAAAACAAGAAAAAAAACAAGAUUAAGUGCAGACUAGUAUGGUGUCGAUGGCGGUUGAGAGAGACACUAUCAUCACCAUCUUCAUCAUCAUCAUCAUCAUCAUCAUCAUUGGCAUUCUCCCUCUUUCUCACCUCCCAUCUUUCUCUCCCUCACCUUCUUCCUCUAUUCCCUCCCUCCCUCUCCGCCUUCCUUCACCCCUCCAGCGGCGGGACACAAAUCACAAAAAUAAACCGCUCGCUGCAUUCGUCAAGGCGAGCGGAGGAGGAGGAGAGAUAAACAGGAGGAAGGGAAAGAGAGAAAGGAACAGGAGGUUAUUAAGAGAGGAAACGCCAAUGAGUGAGUUCGUAAAGCUACAUUCAUUCAUGCAUUGUUUUUUUUUCAUAAUUUUUUGGUUCGCUAUUCAUUUGUUAUUCAUUUUUAUUCAUUGUUAUUCACUCACUUCCGGUUGUUAUUCAUUCACUUUUGGUUGUUAUUCAUUGCUAUUCAUUCACUCACUCUCGGUUGUUAUUCAUUCACUUUUGGUUGUUAUUCAUUGCUAUUCAUUCACUCACUCUCGGUUGUUAUUCAUUCACUUUUGGUUGUUAUUCAUUGCUAUUCAUUCACUCACUCUCGGUUGUUAUUCAUUUCGUCUUUAAAAAAAAAGUUCAUUCAUAUCAUUACUAUCAUCAUCUUACUUUAUCUGUCAUUAUCAUCUUUCAUCACCAUCAUCAUUUAUCUCAUUCUCAUCACAUUAUCAUCGUUGUGUGUUACUUUCGUCAUCUUCAACUUCUUUCAUCACCAUCAUUUUCUGGACCAGCAACAUCACACUCAUCACAUCACAUCCCAUCAUCAUCAUCGUCAUAAUUACUACAAUCAUUGCAUCCUUCAUUAUUUAUUAUAUUUAUUCUGUUCAUUUAUUUAUUAUGUUAUUUAUCUUCUUGUGUCUCUUUUUUCCGUAUACUCAAAACGGAUAUUACACUACAUACAUUCUUCUUUUUUUUAUAUAUCGACAAAUGACACCGUUGUACUUACUUAUGUGUCUUCUCUUCCUAUUCUUUCCCCCGUGUGUGUGUGUGUGUGUGUGUGUGUGCGUGUGGGAGGUGUGCAUGUGGCCGGGGCUGAUUAAUAUGUUGUCCCUUGUUGCUAGGAAGGCGGGGGGAAGGUCACGUGUUGGUGCAGGUGUUAACGGUGCGCAGGUGUUCGUGACCCAGGUGUGUGUGGGUGUACGUGUGUGUGAUUAGGUGUGCUUGUGGUGGACUCGUGUGGCCGGGGGAUGGUUUGGGGGGGGAGGGAGGGCGCUGGUGUUGGGGUGUGGUCAGUCUCAUGCCUCGGUCACCCCUCCAAACAAAGUGUUCGCAUUCGUCACCGCUGCACGCCACUGACCACAUCCCCUCACCCCGCUCUCCUUCCCUCCUCUCUCACCUCUCCCCCACACACACCACACGGGUCAAACUUCAUCUCCUAACCUGAAUCCUGAGAGUCCGCGAUAUCGAGUCUUCUACAGCGCCAUGAAAAGAAUAAACGCCUGAAUCAUAUACUCCAAAACCAAACAGAAAACGGAGUGCAGGUUGAGGAUGCCAAAGAGAAGACUGUCGCUUCCUCCGUCCCUCCAGAGUCCUUCACCCCUCCAGGACGCCACGUUAGGGUCUUCCUGCAUUCGUCAAGGACUCUGGUUGGGGAGGGAGUGCAGCCCCCUCUCCCUCCACCCUCUAUGCCGUGUUCUCCCUUCUCCCUUUAAACGUGUAGCACCUCUUUAGUCUUCAGCUGUUUUUGUUAAGGUUAUUGAGUUAACUUAGAAUCUCGUCUUUCUCUUAAACUGUUUCUUUUUGUGUGAGCUUCCUUUGGGCUUGUUCUGUUCCCUCAAUGUCCUCUACUCUUCUCCCUUCCUCUCCAACGUGCUACACUCCCUUCCCUUCCUCCUCCCUCCUUCUCUUCCUCUCCCUUCCUCUUUGUCCUCCUUAUCUGAGCUAGCGAAGGAAAUUAUACAGUAAGACUCUUCAAGCACUUAAAUGUAUCCUCUCCCUCCAUCUCUGUGUAUCGCUAUUUGUUAUUAUUGGUCUCUAGUGUAUGUAUGUCCUUGUCUUUCUAUCCACUCUUCGUAUUAUUGUCAUUGUUAUUAUUUGUUAUUAUUAUCAUUAUUAUUGUGGUUACUCUUCACCUGGUCCAUCGUCACUUAGCCUGGACAGAUUUUAAACAUUCCCGACAGCCUGGGUCGAUGAUGGUGAUGGGACGGCACACACACACACACACACACACACACACACACACACACACACACACACACACCGCUGCUGCUGGUCACACGUCGAGCUCACACUCCGUUUUCUUCUUCCCGUUUUCUUUGCUUAGCUUAACUUUGGGUGAAAAAAAAUGUCUCCGUUCUUUCCUUCGACGAUUUGACUGACAGCUUUCCCUUAUCUGUUGUUAGUUAUAUCGUUCCAUGGUUGGUUAGACACGUGGGUUCAAUCUUCUAUUCAUAGCUGUAGUUUGUGUCUCCUUUUGAAAUACUAAUCACUGUUUUUCAUUUCUUCCUCUGUUUUUGUAUUUUUUCCAUUAAUUUUGUUUUUGUUUUUAGAUACUAGCGCAUUCUUUUUUGUGGUAUGAUAUGUUGUUGUUCUUGUUUUCCUUUUCCUGCCUAAGUUUUUUGGUUUUGGCUUUGUUUUGAUUUCCGUGGCCUCAUCCUAGUGUUUUUUUUUUCUUCGUUUCUCACUUUUCAUCGUUCCUAUUCACUGCCUCCGUUUGUACAUUGAUAGGAAGUACAUCGUGUGUUUUUUCCCCCUUCAAUCUUUCUCAUUUUUUCCCGACACACGCUUUCCAUUUUCCAUUUUUCACCCGACUACUAUAUUUUUUUAUUCGUCUUUAUUUAUCUCUUUUUUUUUUUUAAUAUCAUUCCUCUGUCUCUGUUUGUAGAUAGUGAGUACAAGAUGUUUUUUUUCCUUCAAUCUUACUCCUUUUUUUUCAGACACGCACUUUCCAUUUUCCAUUUUUCACCCGACUACUGUAUUUUUUUCGCCUUCAUUUCUCUUAUUUUUUUUACAUUCCUCUCCUAAGUCUCCGUUUGUAGGAUAGUUUGUAGGAUAGUAGGAGUGUAGGAUAGCUUGUAGGAUAGUAGGAGUGUAGGAUAGCUUGUAGGAUAGUAGGAGUGUAGGAUAGCUUGUAGGAUAGUAGGAGUGUAGGAUAGUUUGUAGGAUAGUAGGAGUGUAGGAUAGCUUGUAGGAUAGUAAGUACUGGAUGUUUUUUUCCUUCAAUCUUUCUCAUUUUUCCUACGUACUUUGCUUUUUCAUUUUCUAUCCAACUUUCGACUCUGGUAGAUACGUGGGUCUCUUUUUUUCCUCUUCUUGUAUGUAAAUAUUUUCAACUUGCCUUUUCAUGUGUCUUCUCCUCCUCCUCUCCUCCUCCUCCUCUCCUCCUCCUCCUCCUCCUCCUCCUCCUCCUAUUCACCUCUCUGUACCGAAGCAUCAGUUGUGUGUUCACCGACUUUUUUUCAUCUUUUUCUUUCCUCUCUCUCUCUCUCUCUCUCUCUCUCUCUCUCUCUCUCUCUCUCUCUCUCUCUCUCUCUCUCUCUCUCUCUCUCUCUCUCUCUCUCUCUCUCUCUCUCUCUCUCUCUCUUUUUUUUUUUACUCUACAAUGAUAGCUUCCAGUUGGUUCUCUCUCUUUUUAUUCUUUCCUUCAAUAACGCGACUUCUAUCUGUGUUUCAAAUCUUUUUUUUCUCUUCCAAAGCAACCUCUAUUUUUUUUUCUUUCUUUUCCUCCUCCUCUUUCCUCGACUUGCAAAUCCCUUACAUUCAAAAUCUUCUUAGCAUUUGUGACGUAACGAGUGGAGGG
This is a long non-coding RNA of Eriocheir sinensis (Chinese mitten crab), 7241 nucleotides long. RefSeq lists it as uncharacterized. Lineage: Eukaryota; Metazoa; Arthropoda; Malacostraca; Decapoda; Varunidae. The transcript has 2 exons. The record is from RefSeq and is a predicted model, not a curated record.